UUUGGUAUAUAGUAUAGCUACGUAAAAAUCCCUUACAAAAUGCAUCGACAGUGAUGUCAACCAUGGGCUUGGCAUGGUACAAUUAGGCCAAGCUAGCCAGAUUUUAAACAUUAUACAUCAACACAUUUUCAAUUAAUUCACAACAUUGUAACAAGGGUAUCAAAUAACAACAUAGCAACAUAUAACAAAAUUGUCAUGAAUAUCACAUUAUUUACUUUAACAAAAUAUUAUAACCUAUGCAACCUUAAUCCGACUUCAACCUUUUAAUGAAUUUUGUUCCCCACAAAGAUAUAAAAUGUCAGGAUUCUAUUUACAUCAACACCACACACAUACGUACUAGAGCAAAAGGAAUGAUAUUGCCACAUUUACAAACUAAAAUUAUGCUCAUUUUUGUUUUUAUGGAAUCUCAUAAUCUUGCCGUUGUAUCAAUUUCAUGAAUGGGUGUUUAAAGAACCAGUAGAUUUACUUUACCCUAAGAUGACCCAAAGAAUGACAUAAAACCUUAUUUAAUAAAACUGAAUGCAAUAGUGAUAACCAACCUUCCAACAUCAUUCCCAAAUUCAUCAAAUCAGAGACUCAAAUGACUCCAACAUAGACCCAAAACCAGAAUUACAUAAACAAAUUCCCCAACCACAGUGUACAUACACUUGGUUCAGACAUUUAGAAUUUUUUCGCGAGAUUUUUAACACAAGCAGAAUUUAAGUCCUAGAAAUUCAUAUGUGUUACAAUGACAACUUUAUACCCAAACACAAAUCUACAUCUAUGGAUGUGCAAGGCAGACCAGUGUCUAACAGAAGAAAAAAUAUACAAAUUGAUAGAACUUAAAAGCCAAUUACUGAAAAAUCGAUGACGAAUUACAUCAGCCUUUACACAUGCAUCUUCAUAUUCACUUCACAUUCAAGGGUUCAAAUAAGUACCUGGAUACAUCAAGGCAAAAUAUAUUUUAAAAUCAGCUUAUGGCAGCAAGGAAAUAAAAGGUUCAACAGCAAGGAACGACAGUAAUAAUCAACACAGCAACCUCUAUAUCCAGCCAGGUUUUAGCUUAAAAAAUAAGAAAAUCCCAAGAAAGGCCACUUCUAAACUAUUAGCCAAAGGAAAAUAAAACUUAAAACUAUAUGGUUUUUUUCAUAAAAGAUUUUUAGCCGCUUUCUCUUUUAGGUGUCCUGGACCUCUGCCCUAGAAUGAGGAAAAAUGAUCCUCUUGUAGAAAACUUUAGGACAGCACUAACCAGAUUUUCCUCCUUUUCUAAUUCUCCUUUUCACCCUUUUUUUUUUAGUUAUUUUACCUCCUAACCCCUUAAAAAUAUCGCAUUUCUUAGCAUGCAAGCUUUUUCUUAUCCUCUAGAAGCUUCUCCUUAACAGAAAAUAUUCCUAGACCCAAGAUACCCAAAGUACCCCUUGACACCCAUAUAUUUAACUCCCCAAACUAAACCAAAUAUGGGUCAACUGACCCAAGACCCAAAACUCAAACAAAUGGGCUUCUUCUACCCAAACCAAAGAUAACAGAAGCCUAUUAGGCAACCCAAAUAUAGUAAUCCCUGAACAAAGAAACCCAGGGGCAUGAUUAACCUAAUAUUAUGACCGAAAAAAGUAACUGGUUAAUUAACCCAGAAGAAGAAGAAGAAGAAGAAAGACAAAGAAAAAUCUAAUCCGAACAGAAAUUGAACCAAUCAACAAAACACUUUAACAUGAUAAGCACUAAUUUAAUACUAUUGAUCAUACUAAAUAAAUCCGGCCAGGCCGGAAAAUCAACAAAACAAAAGACAAAAAUAUAUUAAUCCAAAAUCAUGCAAUUAACCUAAGAAACCUAUUUUUAAAAAUGAACUAAUCUAAAGUAAACAUAUUAACUAGAAAUAGAUGAAAAGAAACAGACACAAAAAGAGAGGGAAGAAAUAUAUACUAAUUUGGCCGGAGACGUUUGAACAAACAAAGAGAAUCAACGAACGAUGACGCUUCACGAAUCUUGGCCGAUCAUUUUUGACUUAGCAGGAACCCGGUGAGCCUUGAAAUGAGCCAAAAUGAUGCUAAUCGAUUGUUCUUACCGAGAACAAUUGAUUAUCAUAUAUUUCGGCUCAAAUUCAACCUUGAAACCGUUUAAAACUCAGAAACUGGAAUGGAUUAGGUUUUUCAAUUUCUUCUGAAUCAUAUUUGAAAUUGGAACAAAUGGUUGAGGAUUUUGGGGGAACUCGUGAUGGAUAAUGAAAGAGGGGUUAGUGGUGAUUGUAUGGUGACAGCUUGGAGCGGUUUAGGGCGUCGUUGCCGGCCGGUGAGGUUUGAGAAUUUGGGGGCAGCUUGGGUUUCUAACUGGAUUUAGGAUAAGAGACUGAAUGAGGGGUUCGAAUGGGGAGUGGACCUGUUCGGACACUUAUAUGCUUAUGGGAAGGUUAGUUUCCAUCCGUUCUAUCAAAAAGAUCAACGGAUGGGAUUCGCUGGUCAAUGAAUGGUGUCGUUUGGUGUAGUGGGUGCUGGAUGGACGGGGUAAGGGGUAUUGGAUUUUUGUCUGAGGCUGAAUUGGGGGUGGG
Molecule: long non-coding RNA, 2521 nt
Filed under: Nicotiana benthamiana
Lineage: Eukaryota; Viridiplantae; Streptophyta; Magnoliopsida; Solanales; Solanaceae
Description: long non-coding RNA (NBEN_LNC011204)
Source: RNAcentral